GCCUUCGUGGUGUAAUGGUCAGCACACUCGGCGCGUAUUCGAGAGGUUUGUGGUUCGAGUCCCGGUGAGGGCA
RNAcentral lists this transfer RNA (73 nucleotides) under Stegodyphus mimosarum. It matches the Rfam family "tRNA". Rfam says of the family: Transfer RNA (tRNA) molecules are approximately 80 nucleotides in length. The record is from Rfam by way of RNAcentral. Lineage: Eukaryota; Metazoa; Arthropoda; Arachnida; Araneae; Eresidae.